RNAcentral lists this ribosomal RNA (497 nucleotides) under uncultured bacterium. RNAcentral's name for it is "partial 16S ribosomal RNA". It matches the Rfam family "Bacterial small subunit ribosomal RNA", at positions 28 to 507 of the family's 1533-position model. The record is from RNAcentral.
GAUGAACGCUGGCGGCGUGCCUAAUACAUGCAAGUCGAGCGAACAGACGAGGAGCUUGCUCCUCUGACGUUAGCGGCGGACGGGUGAGUAACACGUGGAUAACCUACCUAUAAGACUGGGAUAACUUCGGGAAACCGGAGCUAAUACCGGAUAAUAUAUUGAACCGCAUGGUUCAAUAGUGAAAGACGGUUUUGCUGUCACUUAUAGAUGGAUCCGCGCCGCAUUAGCUAGUUGGUAAGGUAACGGCUUACCAAGGCAACGAUGCGUAGCCGACCUGAGAGGGUGAUAGGCGACACUGGAACGGAGACACGGUCCAGAGUCCUACGGGAGGCAGCAGUAGGGAAUCUUCCGCAAUGGGCGAAAGCUUGACGGAGCAACGCCGCGUGAGUGAUGAAGGUCUUCGGAUCGUAAAACUCUGUUAUUAGGGAAGAACAAAUGUGUAAGUAACUAUGCACGUCUUGACGGUACCUAAUCAGAAAGCCACGGCUAACUACGUG